This 63-nucleotide transfer RNA is filed under the name Ceraphronidae sp. ZJUH_2016007. RNAcentral describes it as "tRNA-Phe". The record is from RNAcentral. Lineage: Eukaryota; Metazoa; Arthropoda; Insecta; Hymenoptera; Ceraphronidae.
ACUUAAUUAGCUUAUUUAUUAGAGUAUUAUAUUGAAGAUGUAAAGGAAUUAUUUUAUUAAGUG